RNAcentral lists this long non-coding RNA (1061 nucleotides) under Cyanistes caeruleus (blue tit). RNAcentral describes it as "lncRNA (ENSCCEG00000001372.1)". The record is from RNAcentral. Lineage: Eukaryota; Metazoa; Chordata; Aves; Passeriformes; Paridae.
UUCCCCGUGCCCUACGCGAUGGGGAGUGCUGGGGGACCAGAGCCGCCCCCGGGGGUGGGGGUCUAGCGAAGCUUGUGUGGUCUAAAAAAAAUUCCACAUUCACCAUGUAUAUAUGUAAUUACUGAUUUUUGCUGAUCUCUACCGUAUUCUCUCUAGGUGCUUCUCUUUUUACCCCCACAGCUGAAGAAAAUAAGAUUCCUAUAACCUUUCCCAUGUGGACUUCUGGUCUGACUUUUCGUCCUGACGCUCCUUCCCGCACGCCUAUAAUUGUGUGGUACCCUUUUGGAGACGGUGGGAGAAGGAUUGCAUGGAAUCGGCAUACGGGACUGCCAUGUGCUGAGUUUCACCACUCCUGACAUUCAUCCUACCCAGUUAGCACACCAUUGGAUAUCUGUUUGGGCUUUUCACCUGUGGAACACAACCAGCUGAAGAUUUCCGUAGCAACAGAAUUCCAUCUAGAGUGUUCAAAUGGAAGCACAGAAGCAUUGGAAGCUGAAAGUUCCUCCUGAUGUUGCAUUCCUGUCCAGGUCUUUCAACAACUGGAACUCUAUUGUCUGGAAGCUCCUACCCUGGUGGCUCAGACAGGGCUUGAUGGUAACAUGAAAAUACUGGCCAAGACUGGGAAGAGAGAAGACUGCCCCUGGUAAUGUAACAAAAAAGUCCAGAGGAAGAGUGAGCCCAUUCUGUUGAAGAAUUAGAAUUACCUAUAAUAAUAUCUAUGUUAGAUCUAGAUAUUAGAUAAUAUCUAAUAUCUAGAUCUAGAUAAUGUAGAUAACUAGAUAAUUAUCUAAUUAUCUAUAUUAGAAUGAGAAACUCAGCCCUGCAAGAUCAGUCUCCAUUUCCUCUGGUCUCUCACAGCAUGCAACACCCUCGAGUGCUGUGUUGCAGGACAACUGUAUGAGGUUCAACAAGACUCAGGGCCAGGUGCUGUACUUGGGUCAUAACAACCCCAGGAAGUGCUACAGGCUGGGGGAAGAGGGGCUGGAAAUGAGCCAGCAGUGCCCAGGUGUCCAAGGCUGAUGCCAUCCUGGCCUGUGUCAGGAGCAGUGUGGCCAGCAGGA